UGGGAUUGGGCGAAUUUUGGU
Molecule: microRNA, 21 nt
Filed under: Fragaria vesca subsp. vesca
Lineage: Eukaryota; Viridiplantae; Streptophyta; Magnoliopsida; Rosales; Rosaceae
Description: fve-miR11288b
Source: miRBase by way of RNAcentral